Molecule: ribosomal RNA, 469 nt
Filed under: uncultured bacterium
Lineage: Bacteria
Description: partial 16S ribosomal RNA
Rfam family: Bacterial small subunit ribosomal RNA
Source: RNAcentral
GACGAACGCUGGCGGCGUGCUUAACACAUGCAAGUCGAACGGAAAGGCCCUGCUUGCGGGGUGCUCGAGUGGCGAACGGGUGAGUAACACGUGGGUGAUCUGCCCCUUACUUUGGGAUAAGCCUGGGAAACUGGGUCUAAUACUGGAUAGGACCAUGCUGUAGGUGGGGUGGUGGAAAGAUUAGUUUCGGUAAGGGAUGAGCUCGCGGCCUAUCAGCUUGUUGGUGGGGUAAUGGCCUACCAAGGCGUCGACGGGUAGCCGGCCGGUGAGGGUGGACGGCCACAUUGGGACUGAGAUACGGCCCAGACGCCUACGGGGGGCAGCAGUGGGGAAGAUUGCACAAUGGGGGCAAGCCUGAUGCAGCGACGCCGCGUGGGGGAUGACGGCCUUCGGGUUGUAAACUCCUUUCAGCCAUGACGAAGCCCUUGUGGUGACGGUAGUGGUAGAAGAAGCACCGGCUAACUACGUG